Molecule: long non-coding RNA, 935 nt
Organism: Halichondria panicea
Lineage: Eukaryota; Metazoa; Porifera; Demospongiae; Suberitida; Halichondriidae
Exons: 2
Source: RefSeq, a predicted model, not a curated record
UCCAAAACUAGCCUCGAUCCCAGGCCGAGUUUUCGCUUUUAUAACGGUUAGGCGAACAACUGGGCCUGGUACUAGUUGUCUGCGCAUGCGUCAGUCGUUCGUCAGAUUCUGACGAAUGGAUAUUCUCGUUCACUUUCGUGACAUUUAUAUUCGUGUACUAGAAGUCAGUUCCCGUUUUAUCAUUAUUGGAAUCGAUUGGAAUGGCUCUUAGCUGAAGCUUCUCUCUUCUCUGAAGCUUAUUCUGAAGACUGAACAACAAGGGAAGAGGUAUAAAGCUUUGUCAAGCUUGUUAAGGUCAGAUAUUUUUGUGUGGGCCCUAUGGCCGGCUAUGCUAUCAAGUCUUGUUCAUGUUUGGCAAGAAUGUAGGUAGACUAUAGUUUCAUCAUUAAUAUGGUGGAUCAAGUGAAGAGUGUGAGCUAGAGAACUUGGUGCUGCCAUCAUCAGCUCGUCGACAAUGACACUAUAACCGAGAAAUUUAAUAUGUAUAGAUCUACACGUAUUUAAAAUGUCUACUUCUCUGUACAGGAGCAAUGGCUAAUAUCCAACUAUCCCAACAGUGCUCCUCUUGGCUAUACUAACGGACGAGACUGGACAGUUUGAGACACAGGACUGGAGUAUGACCUGCUCAUUUGAGCGUUGCUGGGUAGCUCAGAGACAUCAAGAGAAUCUACGUUUUCUCAAGCAAUGAGUUACGAGUUGGGGCCUAGAAUCAGAGAAGUCCAGCAGCCUGCUAAAUCUUUUUGAAACGUAAUUUGAAGGCAUUCAAUCAUCCUGAAGUUGCCCUGGGUCACUGUAAUUGUGCUGCAGCACAACUGGCAACUCCCCAGGCCUUUGUGAAGCAGCUCCCUAUGUGCAUCUUUUGUGUACUCACUCUGUGCAUUUUCUGUGUACAAAUUUCUAUUAUUGAUUUAUUAAAUAUUUUUGCCGACCACAAA